CCCUUAGAUGUUCUGGGCUGCACGCGCGCUACACUGAUGCGCUCAACGAGUUUUAACCUUGCCUGGAAAGGUUGGGUAAUCUUUUUAAAACGCAUCGUGAUGGGGAUAGAUUAUUGCAAUUAUUAAUCUUCAACGAGGAAUUCCUAGUAAACGCAAGUCAUCAGCUUGCAUUGAUUACGUCCCUGCCCUUUGUACACACCGCCCGUCGCUCCUACCGAUUGAAUGAUCCGAUGAAUAUCAUGGACUGAGAGUGUUAGAGUUUUCGGACUUCUACACUUCUCGGGAAGUGAAGUGAAUCUUAUCAUUUAGAGGAAGGAGAAGUCGUAACA
RNAcentral lists this ribosomal RNA (329 nucleotides) under uncultured eukaryote. RNAcentral describes it as "partial 18S ribosomal RNA". It matches the Rfam family "Eukaryotic small subunit ribosomal RNA", at positions 1470 to 1796 of the family's 1831-position model. The record is from RNAcentral.